UUGCCCAAAUUUUGUGUGUGUGUUUUUAACUCUCCUGUGGAAUGAUCUUGUUUCUGCAAUUUCAUAACCAUGGAUGAAUAACAAAGCAGAAAAUUGAGAUCACUUGGUGGCCUGAUGUGGAGUGGAGGGGAUAUGAUAUGACAUACUACAUGGUCAACCUCACCUUUCAACUUUGAACCUGUAAGAUUGACAUCUACACCUGCCACUGAAAUCUUGCCUGGCCCUGAGGAAUAACCUGAGCAUGAACCAGCCUUUUACUCACUGAAACAGAGAUGACUGGGAUGAAUAUGGUCUCAAGUUCCUCUUCCCCAGUCAGAUUAAGACUUGGUGCCAUGACUGGACACUGCCUUGCCCAAUGACAGGGGACUACCGUCCACUAACCCAGAGAUGAGACCAUCGUCCAAUUUGUCUCUCGGUAAACUUGUUCAAUGUUAAGCUACACUCCAUUAUUUCACAGUGACUAUACAAAUGAAUGACUGCUCAAAUAUAUUAGUCAGGUUGGGGGUGGGGAUGCUAUCAAACCAGGAUAUUGUGUAAAGUAUCUACCCAUUUAAAUACUUACAGUGAAGGCCAG
Long non-coding RNA from Micropterus dolomieu (smallmouth bass), 574 nucleotides. RefSeq lists it as uncharacterized. The record is from RefSeq and is a predicted model, not a curated record. The transcript has 3 exons. Lineage: Eukaryota; Metazoa; Chordata; Actinopteri; Centrarchiformes; Centrarchidae.